RNAcentral lists this ribosomal RNA (523 nucleotides) under uncultured bacterium. RNAcentral's name for it is "bacterial SSU rRNA". It matches the Rfam family "Bacterial small subunit ribosomal RNA", at positions 990 to 1510 of the family's 1533-position model. The record is from RNAcentral.
UUUGACAACUCUAGAGAUAGAGUCUUCCCCUUCGGGGGACAAAGUGACAGGUGGUGCAUGGUUGUCGUCAGCUCGUGUCGUGAGAUGUUGGGUUAAGUCCCGCAACGAGCGCAACCCUUAAGCUUAGUUGCCAGCAUUAAGUUGGGCACUCUAAGUUGACUGCCGGUGACAAACCGGAGGAAGGUGGGGAUGACGUCAAAUCAUCAUGCCCCUUAUGAUUUGGGCUACACACGUGCUACAAUGGACAAUACAAAGGGCAGCUAAACCGCGAGGUCAUGCAAAUCCCAUAAAGUUGUUCUCAGUUCGGAUUGUAGUCUGCAACUCGACUACAUGAAGCUGGAAUCGCUAGUAAUCGUAGAUCAGCAUGCUACGGUGAAUACGUUCCCGGGUCUUGUACACACCGCCCGUCACACCACGAGAGUCUGUAACACCCGAAGCCGGUGGAGUAACCAUUUAUGGAGCUAGCCGUCGAAGGUGGGACAAAUGAUUGGGGUGAAGUCGUAACAAGGUAGCCGUAUCGGAA